CAGACAGAAUCUUAUCUCAAUGCGCAGACUGAAUUCAAACAACUACAGGUGGGUAGCUGGUGAUGGAAUCUUGAAGGUUAUAUGCGAUGAUAUGAUUAUUCUAGAGGGAGAGAAAAGGAUGAGAGGACAUUACUACUUGAUAGAGAGCUUAGUGUGAGGUGGAGCUUCAGGAGUUAGGGGGAGCUCUGUGUGAGGUGGAGCUCCAGAUAGAGAUGAAUCAGGCACGAGAUGCGAGAUU
This 238-nucleotide long non-coding RNA is filed under the name Elaeis guineensis (African oil palm). RNAcentral describes it as "long non-coding RNA (EGUI_LNC032527)". The record is from RNAcentral. Lineage: Eukaryota; Viridiplantae; Streptophyta; Magnoliopsida; Arecales; Arecaceae.